This 253-nucleotide ribosomal RNA is filed under the name uncultured bacterium. RNAcentral's name for it is "partial 16S ribosomal RNA". It matches the Rfam family "Bacterial small subunit ribosomal RNA", at positions 524 to 776 of the family's 1533-position model. The record is from RNAcentral.
UACGUAGGCAGCAAGCGUUGUUCGGAAUUACUGGGCGUAAAGAGUGUGUAGGCGGUGCUCUAAGUUUGGUGUGAAAUCUCCCGGCUCAACCGGGAGGCUGCAUCGAAUACUGGAAUGCUAGAGGGUGGGAGAGGUAAGCGGAAUUCCUGGUGUAGCGGUGAAAUGCGUAGAUAUCAGGAGGAACACCUGUGGUGUAGACAGCUUACUGGACCACUUCCGACGCUGAGACACGAAAGCGUGGGUAGCAAACAGG